This 18-nucleotide non-coding RNA is filed under the name Arabidopsis thaliana (thale cress). RNAcentral also lists the same sequence under 1 other name. Lineage: Eukaryota; Viridiplantae; Streptophyta; Magnoliopsida; Brassicales; Brassicaceae. The record is from RNAcentral.
UGAAGCUGCCAGCAUGAU